Molecule: long non-coding RNA, 1829 nt
Organism: Astatotilapia calliptera (eastern happy)
Lineage: Eukaryota; Metazoa; Chordata; Actinopteri; Cichliformes; Cichlidae
Source: Ensembl
UCUGUGUUCAUAUUCAUUCAGAGCUCCGUCGCUCAGACCAUCACACCUCUCUGUGCUCUCUCUGCUCUCUGCUUUCUUCAUCUCCAGGUCUCCCAUCUGUCCCUGUCUCUACCAUCCUCAUCCUCACUCUGUCUCUCCAUGGGAGUCAUGUCCUCCCCCAGGUUCCUGUCACUUCAUCUGCUUGGAGCCUUGCUGCUGCCGCUGCUGCUGCUGCCUGGUUCUUGGGCCCAGCAUUAUGAUGAUUUCACAUCAUCUCCAGAUUACGACUCUGACUACAACUCCACCUUUGAGUACAGCUUCUUCAGUAAUACGAGCAGCGAGGACCUGGACAGACUUGUGGAACGCUACCUCGAUCCAGACGAAACUACGGAGGACACUGGAGGACCAGAGGAGGAAGUGGCUGUAACCAUGGUGAUUACAAGAAGAACAACAGAGGGGGUCAACGCUCACGGCACUGCACCAUUUCAGAGGCAGCCGAUGGAAGACAGCACACUGCUCAGUAGACCAUUCAACACUUUAUUACUUCUAGAAGGGAGAUGCGUCCUGCACAACACGUUGCUGCAGAUCUCAAAAUGCUGGUGUGCCCCUUUAUUACAGAAGCUCUCUCAUUCUAGUCUAAACAACAGUGUCGCAGUAACUUUCCACCAGAGAUGCUCCCCUCUUAUCUACUUUUUCCCAGGCGUGAGCGAGAGUCUGCAGCUCUCUACUCCCCAAGGACACACGGUCUCAUGCCUUUAUUUUCAGGGCUGUGUCCACUACUACACUAUAUAACUUUAUAACACUUAUUAAUAAAAAAGCAUAGAUUAUUGAGGCACUGAAAAAUUAUUUAUUCCCCACAGUUAUUUAACAUAUAAUCACAGUAAACUAGUAAUAACAAAACAACUAACAAGCUUCAUGGUCAAACUUUCUAACAAAAACAAUAAAUAUGUUGUCAAAUGUCACUUAUGACCCACUGAAGAUGAUGAUGAAGACUAUUUAACCGUUUAACAAGCUGAUGAUGUGUUUACUGUCUGCAGGAAAUCAGGACGCUGCUCUGGACUCUGGUGAUCCUGUUGGUCCUGCAGCAGCUGCAACACACACUCUGGUGACAGGUGUCGAGACAAGCCCCUCAGCUCCGUCCUCAGUGAACAUGGCUCCUCAUGGGAGCAGGUGGACCAAUCACAGAGCUUCUUUCCUGAACCAUUUCAGAAAGUUUGCAGACAAACGCCUGGAAGAUUUCACUACGUGGUGACAUUUUUAUUAUACGUAAAGAAGUUUUUUGAUGGAACUGCUGAAUAAGCCAUACUUUAGAAAAGAUGUUUAUAUUUGUAAUAAAAAGAUGUUUUUAAAGACAAUAUGAAGUUAUUUUGUGUCCUUAUUGUGCAAACAAACAACAUAAGUGUUUGUAGUUGAGUGCAAACAAGCACUGUGUUACAGAAUAAACAUGUUGAUGGACGGGGUCAGCGGGGGCCUGGAGCUUUCAUUUUUUCUCCAAAUCACAAGUGUUGUUGGCUGAACUGUGAAACGUCAGCUGAAAGAUUUCUAUUACAGCAGAACCGUCACUGUGCAAACGUUUGCAUCUGUUCAUAUUCAGGAUCCAGGAGCGGAUUUGGAUCCACAGUUUAAUCACAGAUUUAUUUGACUUGCGAUACAUUUUUGAUUGUGCUGUUUAUAGUUUUCCUCUAAAUCCUGUUUGUUUGCAUAAAAAAGACACAAAAGUGACAGAAUAAAAACACGAUUGUAUGAAUGAGCAUAUUUGCAGAUACAUUUAUAUAUAAACAAAUAAAGAUGAAGUAUUUAAAGUGGACCCCAGCAUCCUCCGUGGUUACAAUCAUCAGUUUGUCAGCGAC